Molecule: ribosomal RNA, 492 nt
Filed under: uncultured bacterium
Lineage: Bacteria
Description: partial 16S ribosomal RNA
Rfam family: Bacterial small subunit ribosomal RNA
Source: RNAcentral
AGUGAACGCUGGCGGUAGGCCUAACACAUGCAAGUCGAACGGCAGCACAGUAAGAGCUUGCUCUUACGGGUGGCGAGUGGCGGACGGGUGAGGAAUACAUCGGAAUCUACUUUUUCGUGGGGGAUAACGUAGGGAAACUUACGCUAAUACCGCAUACGACCUACGGGUGAAAGCAGGGGAUCUUCGGACCUUGCGCGAUUGAAUGAGCCGAUGUCGGAUUAGCUAGUUGGCGGGGUAAAGGCCCACCAAGGCGACGAUCCGUAGCUGGUCUGAGAGGAUGAUCAGCCACACUGGAACUGAGACACGGUCCAGACUCCUACGGGAGGCAGCAGUGGGGAAUAUUGGACAAUGGGAGCAAGCCUGAUCCAGCCAUACCGCGUGGGUGAAGAAGGCCUUCGGGUUGUAAAGCCCUUUUGUUGGGAAAGAAAAGCAGCAGGUUAAUACCCCGCUGUUAUGACGGUACCCAAAGAAUAAGCACCGGCUAACUUCGUG